RNAcentral lists this antisense RNA (507 nucleotides) under Nocardiopsis sp. NRRL B-16309. RNAcentral's name for it is "Saccharopolyspora sRNA 350". It matches the Rfam family "Saccharopolyspora sRNA 350". The record is from Rfam by way of RNAcentral. Lineage: Bacteria; Bacillati; Actinomycetota; Actinomycetes; Streptosporangiales; Nocardiopsidaceae.
UUGACGGUGCAGUCCCAGGUCGCGUCCGGGUUGAGCAGGCCCUCCUCGCCGAACUGCUCGCCGUCGGCCAGGACGCCGAUCCGCGUGGCGUCGCCGUAGGGGCCCUCGGUGGUCUUGUGGACCCGGCCGUGGGCCAGGAGGUAGAGGUGGUCGGCGGGCCUGCCCUCGUGCGCGAGCACGUCACCGGGCUCGAACUCGCGCUGGGUGAAGCGGCCGGCCAGCUCGCCCAGCACGCCCACGUCGUCGAAACCGGACAGCAGCGCCAGCUCGCCGAGCUCCUGUGGGAUGACCUCGACGUCGGCGCCGGUCUGGUUGAACUCGAUACGGCCGUCACCGAUGGUGUAGCUGAGGCGGCGGUUGACGCGGUAGGCGCCGCCCUCGGUCUGCACCCAGGGCAGCAUCCUCUGCAGCCAGCGGGAACUCUUCCCCUGCAUCUGCGGUGCGGACUUGGUGGUGGUCGCCAGGUUCCGGGCGGCCGCGGUCGCCAGGCUCCGCUGGCCGUUCCGG